RNAcentral lists this non-coding RNA (29 nucleotides) under Rattus norvegicus (Norway rat). The record is from RNAcentral. Lineage: Eukaryota; Metazoa; Chordata; Mammalia; Rodentia; Muridae.
UUUUACUGGAUGCAUGUAAUAACAAGUUA